This 397-nucleotide ribosomal RNA is filed under the name uncultured bacterium. RNAcentral describes it as "partial 16S ribosomal RNA". It matches the Rfam family "Bacterial small subunit ribosomal RNA", at positions 338 to 732 of the family's 1533-position model. The record is from RNAcentral.
CCUACGGGUGGCAGCAGUGAGGAAUAUUGGUCAAUGGGCGCGAGCCUGAACCAGCCAAGUAGCGUGAAGGAUGACUGCCCUACGGGUUGUAAACUUCUUUUAUCAAGGAAUAAAGUGAGGCACGCGUGCCUGUUUGUAUGUACUUUAUGAAUAAGCAUCGGCUAACUCCGUGCCAGCAGCCGCGGUAAUACGGAGGAUCCGAGCGUUAUCCGGAUUUAUUGGGUUUAAAGGGAGCGUAGGGGGGUUGGUAAGUCAGUUGUGAAAGUUUGCGGCUCAACCGUAAAACUGCAAUUGAUACUGGCAGUCUCGAGUACAGUCGAGGUAUGCGGAAUUCGCGGUGUAGCGGUGAAAUGCUUAGAUAUCACGAAGAACUCCGAUUGCGAAGGCAGCUUACUAA